This 467-nucleotide ribosomal RNA is filed under the name uncultured bacterium. Its description in RNAcentral is "partial 16S ribosomal RNA". It matches the Rfam family "Bacterial small subunit ribosomal RNA", at positions 29 to 507 of the family's 1533-position model. The record is from RNAcentral.
ACGAACGCUGGCGGCGUGCUUAACACAUGCAAGUCGAACGGAAAGGCCCUGCUUUUGUGGGGUGCUCGAGUGGCGAACGGGUGAGUAACACGUGAGUAACCUGCCCUUGACUUUGGGAUAACUUCAGGAAACUGGGGCUAAUACCGGAUAGGAGCUCCUGCUGCAUGGUGGGGGUUGGAAAGUUUCGGCGGUUGGGGAUGGACUCGCGGCUUAUCAGCUUGUUGGUGGGGUAGUGGCUUACCAAGGCUUUGACGGGUAGCCGGCCUGAGAGGGUGACCGGCCACAUUGGGACUGAGAUACGGCCCAGACUCCUACGGGAGGCAGCAGUGGGGAAUAUUGCACAAUGGGCGGAAGCUUGAUGCAGCAACGCCGCGUGCGGGAUGACGGCCUUCGGGUUGUAAACCGCUUUCGCCUGUGACGAAGCGUGAGUGACGGUAAUGGGUAAAGAAGCACCGGCUAACUACGUG